This 87-nucleotide transfer RNA is filed under the name Patescibacteria group bacterium. Its description in RNAcentral is "tRNA-Leu". It matches the Rfam family "tRNA". Rfam says of the family: Transfer RNA (tRNA) molecules are approximately 80 nucleotides in length. Their secondary structure includes four short double-helical elements and three loops (D, anti-codon, and T loops). The record is from RNAcentral.
GCCGGGAUGGCGGAAUUGGUAGACGCACAGGACUCAAAAUCCUGCGAUCGAAAGGUCAUGAGAGUUCGAUUCUCUCUCCCGGCACCA